CUCCUUCCCCUACAAGAAACUCUUGAAUGAGAUCCUAUGAGAAGUUGAAGGAAAGAUCUUAUUCCAGUGAUUAAUAUCCGCUUGAGUAACCCAAUCUGAGUCUGAUUUUUUUCGUUAACAAUUCAGGUGUUUAUUUUGGAUGGUCCGGAGUUUUUGGCUGCAACUAUGUUGGACAGAGAUAUGCUUGCUAUGGCUGGAAAUUGGUACCAUGUCGGUUGGUUUUGCUUGGC
Helianthus annuus (common sunflower) is the source of this 230-nucleotide long non-coding RNA. RefSeq lists it as uncharacterized. The transcript is spliced from 3 exons. The record is from RefSeq and is a predicted model, not a curated record. NCBI's taxonomy places the organism in Eukaryota, Viridiplantae, Streptophyta, Magnoliopsida, Asterales, Asteraceae.